RNAcentral lists this long non-coding RNA (2379 nucleotides) under Fragaria vesca (wild strawberry). RNAcentral's name for it is "long non-coding RNA (FVES_LNC005545)". The record is from RNAcentral. Lineage: Eukaryota; Viridiplantae; Streptophyta; Magnoliopsida; Rosales; Rosaceae.
AAAAAAUUAAUAAAUAUCCCACCGAAAACAAAACAACUAAAAUCUCGAAUACCUCGUCUACUCGUCAUUUAUCUCCCUCUUUAUCCUUCAUUCUUCACCCUCGUCUUCUUCACCCAAAUCACUCCAGCCCAGAACAAAGAUACAGUCCCGCUUAAUUUUCUCCAUUCACAUCUCAAACAACCGAUCAUCUUUCAGAAAAUGCAACCCUCACCGGGAUCAACCCCAUAUAUACUUCAAACUCGGCUAGCGAGUCCACUCAGCCGGCGACCCCCGCCGAAUCGACUAAGAUAUCGAGGCCAGACCACCCAAGAAGAAGAGGGUUUGUCUCAUUACUCCUUUUGCUUUCGGUCAGUUUUCGAAGUUUUAGUCUUGGUGAUUUGUGUUGGGCACUGUGUUAUGAUGGAUUCACUUUCAAAUCGAACAGAAUACGCAUGAAGGUGGAUGCUUUUUCGUAGAUUUCGGAGCUGCUUGAUUCAGGGAAGGCAACGUUUAAGAAGAUCAGUGAUGAGUAUGAGGUGAGUUUCAAAAAAGAUUAGUGCCCAGAAGGUGUUUGUGUUAAUGCCUGAGUGGGGAUUUGUGUGCAGGUUUCACAAGGAGCAGAUGAAGGCUGAAGGAGAUCAGGGAGUUGUGCGCAAUUGAUAUUUCGAAUGAGGAGGCUACUCAAUGCUGCAUAUUUGCUUCAGAAUCCUCAUGUUGAUUCUUGAAGGUAAUACUUAAAUUUGCUAGUCACGUGUUCAUUUUACUGCUUAUAGAUGAUGUACUCUUGCAGAUUGAGACUCCUGAUGUUGAUUAUAUUAUGGCUGGCUAAAUAGGUCCAUGGAUAUAUAUAGUUUAGCUUCGGUCUGAUAGAUUUUGAUGGUUUACCUUUAUUCCCAAAGCAAUUUUGUUAGGAUAAUUCAUUAUAGCAGAACACUUUGGUCUUUUUGUUAUCGAUUACACAUAGUGACAUAGCAUAUAUGAGCUGCAUCCUUUUGCCUGAUACACUAGAAAGUUGGUUAACAUCUGCAUUAAGACAGAGCAAAGCAUAUGGGUUUACUUUGAAUAGUUCAAUAUACAGAAGGGUGUGCCUUUUUAUAGUAAUAAAAAACAAGUUGGGUCAAUCUAUGUGGUUAUGUCAGAUAUAAGAAUUGACCCUUGUGUAGUCCUUGGUAAUGGAUUGAAGGUCAUCAUCUCUUUCUUUUAAGCUCUUUUAUUUUGUGGCCUUUAAAGCCCUAAUUUAGUUUGUGGCCACCCCUGCAUUGAUUGAGCUUCUCACAAGAUUUGUAGGUUUCAUCCUUUAUAACCAAUAUGUUUGGCAUGGUAGUUUCAAUGCAAAUGACCACUAUAAGAGAGAACAAGUGGAAUCAAUGGCCACUAGCAGCUUUAGGCUUUGAUGAUGGCGUACUGUUCUCUUUCUUGCAAGCAAUUAAUCAUAUUGUAUCUAUUGGUAACUUUAGGCUUCAUAUGCUCUGGAUUGAGAUUGACAUAUCUUUAUAAGCCAAAUAUGAUUUAUUUUACUAUUGUGCAAGGUUGCGGUUACAAAGAACAAGUAGGAGCAGUGAUCAACCAAAGGCUUCAAGGGAGAACUCUUUGGAGAAGCAUAUUGAAAGAAACAUAACUAGCCUAAAUUUAGUGUCUGUUGUAGCAUGCUUCUCUAAAUUUAACACAAUAUUCCUUUCAACACGCACAACAACUUCCCUAACUAGCACUUAGUCCAAUUCUAAGCCUAACUAGGGUAAUCGAAUCAAAACAUCCAAAAAUCCCCCAAUUCAAACCCUAGCCCGAAAAUCCUCGUACACACUUCGAAUUGGUUAAUUACCUUUUAGGGGAUUGUUACACACGGAGAGUACUUCCAAAUGGGACUCAAAUCACCGGAGAUGGUGGUCGGAGGAGCGAGUUCCGGCGAAAAACCUCCACGCACAGCCACGGCUUCCGGUCGCUCCUUCUCCCUCACGGUGGCGCGACACCACCGGCUAGCUACCCAGAUCGAAUGAGGACGAGCCAAGCUUCAAAUCCCGACCGGUAUGGCGGCCUAACUCCGCCGGACGGCGACGAACGGAGGUGGAGAAGGCACCAGGUCGGGAACCGAGCGGGGGAGAAGUGUCACAUUCCGGUUCUUAAGUCAAUUUGCGGUUAUUUACUUUUGGGUUACAUUGACCUUUUACCGUUUUAAGUAACCGUUUACUAAUUAAGACUCCAAAAGUUGACUUUUCUUCCGUUUGGAAUUUUGGAAAUCUUUCUUCAUGAAAGUUGUAGAGGACGUUAAUAUGAGUUCGUAGACAUGCUAAACGUUAAAAUCGGAGUUAGCAUGAAAAAGUUAUUAGAUAAAAAUAGUAGACUUUGUUUGGUAAAGAGGGGUGGAAUUGUUUUAGUUAUGUAUUAUUUUUGGGUUUUUUAGUU